This is a long non-coding RNA of Phyllostomus discolor (pale spear-nosed bat), 3425 nucleotides long. RefSeq lists it as uncharacterized. The record is from RefSeq and is a predicted model, not a curated record. The transcript has 3 exons. NCBI's taxonomy places the organism in Eukaryota, Metazoa, Chordata, Mammalia, Chiroptera, Phyllostomidae.
AUAUGAUGCUUCCUUGAUUAUUGUAGCUUUGAAGUAAAUCUUGAAUUGGGAAGUAUCAGUUCAAUAACUUGGUCUUCAUUAGUAUUGUCUAGAUUACUUAAAAGUAUGAAAUCAAUGUCAAUAUCUACAAAGUAGCUUGCCGAGAUUUUUAUUGAGAUUGUACUUGCUCUUUCCAUCAAUUUACCAGGAAUUGACAGAUUAAUAAUAAUGUCCUUUGAUCAUAAACAAGGAAUAUAACUCAAUUGAUAUAUUUUUUCAUGGCUUUCAAGAGUGUUUCAUCUUUUUCCCACAGAGAUCUGUAAAUAUUUUGUUGGAUUUACAUGUAAGAAUUUUUUCUUUUUAGGUUUAUUAUAAAUGGUAUUUUUUUCAUGUUUCAAUAUUUGUUACUGGUAAUAUAGAAUCAACUGAAUUUUGUAUAUUGACUUUGAACUUAACUUCAUAUUAUUUCUAUAAAUUCCCAUUUUGGCACAAAGCAAUGGACUCCAUUUCAGUUUCAAAUUCCCAAGUCAUGGCCUUGAAUAAUCUGAGUACUGAAUUUCACGGAUUCACCAAAAAGGGCACAGCCAGCUUUAAACAACUAGGUUUGGGCUUCCUAGCCUGUACUCCCUGGGUCAGCAGGGGGUGCAUGAAACUGCCUGUUCUGGCCUCUGUGGUACGCAUGUGUGGUCUGCUAGCAGAGGUCGGUGUCUGGUUUGUGGUGUCUCUCGCGAGGACGAGAACUUAGUUUUGUUGGGACCAAGGGAAAGAAAAUAUUUCCUGUCCAUGGCCUUGACUGAGGAAGGGGAUGUGCCACAGUUUUCCCAGACAUUUUUCUAAAUAGCUCUCCUCGGACCUCUGACUGCAGCCACACUGGCCUCUCUGAUGUUCCCAGAACUGACCAGCUACUCUCCUCAAGGUGAUAUUAUUAUUACUUCUGCUUCAGUGAUCUGUCAAGAGGAUUAAACCAGCCAACACACAUGAAAAUACUGCUAUAAACUGACGACAACUUGGAAAUGGAAGUAAUGACAUCAUUUCACUGUGCAGCUCCACAUCUGACAAAAUAAAGGUGUUGAUAAGUUUAGUGCUUGAGAACUUGCACAUAUACCUACCUGUCUGUUUAUGAGUACUCUGAACAACGCAACCCAUUAGUUAAGCUUAAUUGCCACUAUAGUGCCACUGUGUGGUUCAGUCUGGUAGCUACUAGCCACAGGUGUCUACCAACUCUUGAAAUGUGGCCAGUCCAAAUGAAGGUGUGCCAUAAGUGUAAAAUACACACCAGAUUUUAAUCAUUUUGUGUGAAAAAAAACCAAAGGAAAAUAUUUUAUUGAUAUGGUUUUUAUCUUGAUUACCCAUGGAAAUUAUAAUAUUUUGGAAGUAUCCAAGUAAAUAAAAUGGGUUGCUAAAAUUAUUUCAACCUGUUUUUUGUUUGUAUUUUUUAAAAUGUGGCUAGUAGUAAAUUUAAAAUCACAUACGUGGCUCUACAUACAUUUUUAUUCGAUGGUGCCACUUUCAACCAAAUUAUUUCUAGUGAGUUUGGAUUUCGUGUAGCUACUAGGGCAUUCCUUGACCAGUGGCACCUCAGUCCUAAAGCAUAUUUGCCCAGUGCUCUUCUCAGAAUGUAGUUGAAACAACCUGGAGUAAAAGGAAUGGUUGGGGUGGCAAGAUGGUAAAUGGGGUGGAAACCCAAAAGCAAGGAGAUUUAAAAAUUUUUUUUGUUUCAGAAUUUAUAGAUAGCAUUCAUUGAUUGUGAUGAUCCAACUUAUUUCUCAUGAGAACAAAGUGGGCCAACCAAUGAUAGAAUAGUUUUGUGAAUUGUGAAUUGGCAUAAAAAGAUAAGGGACAGGUCCUGGCUGGUGUGGCUCAGUGGACUGAGUGCUGACCAGCGAACCAAAAGGUCACUGGUUCGAUUCCCAGUCAGGGCAUAUGCCUGGGUUGCAGGCCAGCUUUCCAGUGGGGGCACAUGAGAGGUAACCACACAUUGAUGUUUCUCUCCCUCUCUUUCUUCCUCCCUCCCCCUCUCUCUAAAAAUAAAUAAUUAAAAUCUUAAAAAAACUGGAUGAGGGAUAGUUACAGCAUUGUUUCUAGGUUUAACUAAAUACUUAACUAAGCAAUGUACACACAUGCUUACUAAGAUUCUGCAUCCCAUACCAUGAGCACCACAGAUAAGAUGCUUAGAGGCUCCACCUCACUCCCAAACAGACUAGUGACAUGUUGGUUAAAAGAAUUGUCAUUAAACCCAGUAUAUAUGUAUACAAGUGUAUCUGUGUGUGUGUGUGUGUGUGUGUGUGUAUCCUAUUGGUUCUGCAUCUCUGGAAAACUCUGAACCUGACUAAUGUAUUACCUGACAAAACACGUCAGCCAACCUCUACCAUUAAACUGGCCGGCUUUUAUGUGCAGUGAUGCGUACAAUGAGAGGAAGGAGUGCAAUAUGAAUCAAGAGUGAUUAAACAUAGAGAAGACAACUUAGAAUGCUACUGUGAAAAGAAUUGAUGACAAUCUAAAUGGGUGCAUUCGGUGGAGAAAUAAUUCACAGGAGAAAUAUAAAAAGUAUACAAAAAGCAUAAUUUAUUAGGUGUGUAUAAUUCUGGGUUAUCAGACUUUCCUACAUGCUUGAUUAAGGUUUGCAUAAUGACUGAGACAAAGAAAAUCAGGUUUUUUUUUUUCCUUAAAAACAAAGUAAUUUGCUUAUACUACCUUCGAGGCGAAAUAAAAUCUGGUGUGACCUUAAUAUAAAGUUAUUUAUACCAUUUAUUUUAAAGAUGGUCUUCACUGGGAAUAAAAAGACAUUGAAUCCAUAAUAUUUUAAUCUAUUGCGGUUGGUGUGCAUAAGUCACACACUUCUGUAUUGAGCGUUUGCAUAUUGAGUGUAGCUUGACCUUAACAAUUUAUCACUUAGUCUCGUACCAUCACCCUCCGUGAUUGAUGUUACAGCUAAGGGUCUAGCAGCAAUUUCAUUAUAGUCCCCGUGUUUCAGGGUUUCAUAAAUAAGCAGUCAAAAUCUCCUGUAGGCUGUGAGAUGUUUUCGUUUGCAUAUUAUCAUUUUAGUUCCAUAUUGUAGCUUCUGUCCAUUAGCUAUAGAAUCAUUUUUCAUUUUCAGAGAGAGUUCCUAUAGGAAACCAUUUUAAUGAUCAUUAAGUGAGGAGAAAACUUGCAAAGAGAAAUUAAAGUUAUUAAAUACCAUUCCUUCCCAGCAAUAUACAUAAAUCGAAUGAAUUAAUGAAUAAUGCAAACCGUACUCUGUGAUAUACACAGAUGAAGUUUACAGAUAUUUAUAGAAUUAAUCAAUAAGCAUGUACACUGUUAAUUAAUGGCAAAGCCCAGUAAGUAUAUGCUUAAUGAAUAAAUAAGUAGGUUAAUAUUGUGGAAGAUAUAGAUUUUAAGAUUAUGCCCAUGACCUCAAUCAAUUUAAAAUCUAAGAGGGGAGAUAAGAUAUAGAAAAAAAAUAA